This 261-nucleotide unclassified non-coding RNA is filed under the name Hevea brasiliensis (rubber tree). Lineage: Eukaryota; Viridiplantae; Streptophyta; Magnoliopsida; Malpighiales; Euphorbiaceae. The record is from RNAcentral.
CAUGAAAAUGUGUUUCUGAAAUGUGUAGUAUGCAGUGUAGCUUGCCUGAAUCUUAUGUUCUGAAUGAGAUGCUUCAGACUUCACAUCAUUAUUGUUGGAAUGUUUGUAUGUUUGAGAGAACAUAAUUUUUAGAUAGUCAUAACUUAAUUUGGGUGGGGUUUCUAUUCUUUAUUUGUGCUUACAAAGGACCAAAUUUAAGUCAAAAGGCAUUUGGAGCAAGUGUAAGAGAAGGGUGGGGAUUGCUUCAUUGGAAGGAAAAUG